AGGAAAAAACCUAAUAAGAAGAAAAUAGGUUUUGGAAUAAAAUAGGAAUUAGGAGAACCUAAAAGAGUCGUAUUUUUGGAGAAGCGGAGCAAAAGAGGCAAAGAUGGGCAGUUAGGAUUUGAGAGAAGAAUUUCUUCGAAGCUAUUGUCGUUUUGCUGGAAAAUCGAGAUACUCAAGAGUAGCUUUGACUGAAGUAAGUGGAAGGAUAACUCUUGAAGUGACUUUCGUAGCUUAUCGCGUUUAUUUAGUGGUUCCUUGCUCUGAUCAUGUAACAUCGGGUUGGGAUAAACGCUUGAUUUGAUUUUUCUAUUAUCAUUAUUGUCGACGCCACAAACUUUGGUGUUGUCGUAAUGUUAAGUGUUGAUUUAGUUGCCAUACUUUAAUUUCACCAUUAAUUUGAGAUUCAAGAGGCUUAAUGCCUUGAGUUAUAAUAC
Molecule: long non-coding RNA, 434 nt
Organism: Lathyrus oleraceus (garden pea)
Lineage: Eukaryota; Viridiplantae; Streptophyta; Magnoliopsida; Fabales; Fabaceae
Exons: 2
Source: RefSeq, a predicted model, not a curated record